GACGAACGCUGGCGGCGUGCUUAACACAUGCAAGUCGAACGGAAAGGCCCUGCUUGCAGGGUACUCGAGUGGCGAACGGGUGAGUAACACGUGGGUGAUCUGCCCUGCACUUCGGGAUAAGCCUGGGAAACUGGGUCUAAUACCGGAUAGGAGCCAUUUUUAGUGUGAUGGUUGGAAAGUUUUUUCGGUGUGGGAGGGGGUCGCGGCCUAUCGGCUUGUUGGUGGGGUAAUGGCUUACCAAGGCGGCGACGGGUAGCCGGCCUGAGAGGGGGGACGGCCACAUUGGAACUGGGAUACGACCCAGACUCCUACGGUAGGCAGCAGUGGAGAAUAUUGCACAAUGGGCGCAAGCCUGAUGCAGCGACGCCGCGUGGGGGAUGACGGCCUUCGGGUUGUAACCUCCUUUCGCUAGGGACGAAGCUUUUGUGACGGUACCUAGAGAAGAAGCACCGGCUAACUACGUG
RNAcentral lists this ribosomal RNA (464 nucleotides) under uncultured bacterium. RNAcentral describes it as "partial 16S ribosomal RNA". It matches the Rfam family "Bacterial small subunit ribosomal RNA", at positions 28 to 507 of the family's 1533-position model. The record is from RNAcentral.